UGGUUGUCUUUUAAUCCAAGGUGCUGACAU
This 30-nucleotide non-coding RNA is filed under the name Mus musculus (house mouse). The record is from RNAcentral. Lineage: Eukaryota; Metazoa; Chordata; Mammalia; Rodentia; Muridae.